Molecule: ribosomal RNA, 985 nt
Filed under: human gut metagenome
Description: bacterial LSU rRNA
Rfam family: Bacterial large subunit ribosomal RNA
Source: RNAcentral
AACUAUAACGGUCCUAAGGUAGCGAAAUUCCUUGUCAGGUAAGUUCUGACCCGCACGAAAGGUGUAACGAUUUGAGCACUGUCUCGACAACACGCCCGGUGAAAUUGAAGAACCAGUGAAGAUACUGGUUACCCGCAACAGGACGGAAAGACCCCAUGGAGCUUUACUGCAGCUUAAUAUUGGGAUUCGGUAUUGUAUGUACAGGAUAGGAGGGAGACUAAGAAGCUAGCACGCCAGUGUUGGUGGAGUCGAUGGUGGGAUACCUCUCUUAUAAUACUGAAUUUCUAACCUACUUCCGUGAUCCGGAAGAGGGACAUUGUUAGGCGGGCAGUUUGACUGGGGCGGUCGCCUCCGAAAGAGUAACGGAGGCGCUCAAAGGUCUUCUCAGAAUGAUUGGAAACCAUUCAAAGAGUGUAAAGGCAAAAGAAGGCUUGACUGCGAGAGUGACAACUCGAGCAGGUACGAAAGUAGGACUUAGUGAUCCGGUGGUAACAAGUGGGAGUGCCAUCGCUUAACGGAUAAAAGCUACCCUGGGGAUAACAGGCUUAUCUCCCCCAAGAGUUCACAUCGACGGGGAGGUUUGGCACCUCGAUGUCGGCUCAUCGCAUCCUGGGGCUGUAGUAGGUCCCAAGGGUUGGGCUGUUCGCCCAUUAAAGCGGUACGCGAGCUGGGUUCAGAACGUCGUGAGACAGUUCGGUCCCUAUCCGUUGUGGGCGUAGGAAAUUUGAUAGGAGCUGUCCUUAGUACGAGAGGACCGGGAUGGACGAACCUCUGGUGAAUCUGUUGGUAACCAAUGCCACAGCAGAAUAGCCAAGUUUGGAACGGAUAAACGCUGAAGGCAUCUAAGCGUGAAGCCAACCUAAAGACUAGAUUUCCCAUGCGAAAGCAGUAAGACUCCUUGUAGACGACAAGGUUGAUAGGCCAGAGAUGUAAGCACAGUAAUGUGUUCAGUUGACUGGUACUAAUAAGUCGAGGGCUUGACCAA